UGUAUUUCAAACCUUAAUUCUUCAACAUUAUGCAGAUACUUCCAACUCUAGUGCCGUAGGAUACGUUUAUAUCAUCAUAGGCCCUCUGGCCUGGCACCUUUAUGCCAUGACACUGGGUGAAUAAGAGGGUUUCUGGAAGCCAUUCCUACAGCAGGACAGGAGAAACUGUGAACCACAAAAAUAUCCCACUAAACCCCAAACUAAAUGUACCCUAAAUUUAAUUCUCUUUUAGCUAAAUCCUCCUAAUACCAACACCACCUGUUAUCAGAGGAUGUGUGACUGCAACGAAGUCAGAAAGGAAAGAGACAGUGGUCUUAAAUGAUGAUGGUUCAUACACCCUUCGUUUGCAAAUUUUGUUCAAAAAAAAGAAAAGAAAAGAAAAGUCUACCACGUGAACCAUCUCUGGGAUUCUUUCCAGGACCUUGAAACUGGCCUGUAUCUCCAUUCCUGUCCCAUCCAGAUUCUUCUGCCCUUAACUCCCUACUCUCCCGGGAAGCCUGCCUUGAAGGGAAUGGAUGCAGCAUGAGGUGCGCCAGCAGACGGAGAAAGGGGGCCACAUGCAUAGCCUGUAGAAGCUGGAAAAGGCAAGGAAAAAGAUUCUCCCUUAGAGCCUCUGGGAAGCAACACGGCCCUCUUGACACCUUGAUCUUAGCCCGGGGAGACCUGUGUUGGCCUUCUACCUUUGGGAGCUGUAAAACAAUAAAUCUGCAUUGUUUCAAGCUA
Neofelis nebulosa (Clouded leopard) is the source of this 723-nucleotide long non-coding RNA. RefSeq lists it as uncharacterized. The transcript has 2 exons. NCBI's taxonomy places the organism in Eukaryota, Metazoa, Chordata, Mammalia, Carnivora, Felidae. The record is from RefSeq and is a predicted model, not a curated record.